This 77-nucleotide transfer RNA is filed under the name Gammaproteobacteria bacterium. RNAcentral describes it as "tRNA-Pro". It matches the Rfam family "tRNA". From Rfam's summary of the family: Transfer RNA (tRNA) molecules are approximately 80 nucleotides in length. Lineage: Bacteria; Pseudomonadati; Pseudomonadota; Gammaproteobacteria. The record is from RNAcentral.
CGGGGCAUAGCGCAGCCUGGUAGCGCAUCUGCUUUGGGAGCAGAGGGUCGGGGGUUCGAUUCCCUCUGCCCCGACCA